This 432-nucleotide ribosomal RNA is filed under the name uncultured bacterium. Its description in RNAcentral is "partial 16S ribosomal RNA". It matches the Rfam family "Bacterial small subunit ribosomal RNA", at positions 29 to 506 of the family's 1533-position model. The record is from RNAcentral.
AACGAACGCUGGCGGCAUGCCUAACACAUGCAAGUCGAACGAGACCUUCGGGUCUAGUGGCGCACGGGUGCGUAACGCGUGGGAACCUGCCCUUAGGUUCGGAAUAACUCCCCGAAAGGGGUGCUAAUACCGGAUAAUGUCUUCGGACCAAAGAUUUAUCGCCUUUGGAUGGGCCCGCGUUGGAUUAGCUAGUUGGUAGGGUAAAAGCCUACCAAGGCGACGAUCCAUAGCUGGUCUGAGAGGAUGAUCAGCCACACUGGGACUGAGACACGGCCCAGACUCCUACGGGAGGCAGCAGUGGGGAAUAUUGGACAAUGGGCGAAAGCCUGAUCCAGCAAGGCCGCGGGAGUGAUGAAGGCCUUAGGGUGGUAAAGCUCUUUUACCCGGGAUGAUAAUGACAGUACCGGGAGAAUAAGCUCCGGCGAACUCCGG